CCAGAGCUCACUGGUUCAUGCUAUGGCUUCAUCUAUGGCAAAGCAGACUGAGAAAUAAGGCCUAGAAUGUGCCCAGGAAGACAAGCUCCAUGAAAGUAAGGACCUACUCUGCUGAAAAGUGACAUUUGUCUUUGAUCUAUAGGAAAAUGAGUUCACCUGAGGAGAAAGAUCCAUAAGUGGGGAACUGAGACAAGCAUGAGCCCAAGACAAUGGAGUUAUGGACAAAUAAUGAUUCAACUCCUCAGGACAGACAAGUGCUAUAGACUGGUUGUUCCUGACCCCUUACAGAUUAAUGGGCAUUGAAGAAACAACAGGUG
This is a long non-coding RNA of Fukomys damarensis (Damara mole-rat), 317 nucleotides long. RefSeq lists it as uncharacterized. NCBI's taxonomy places the organism in Eukaryota, Metazoa, Chordata, Mammalia, Rodentia, Bathyergidae. The record is from RefSeq and is a predicted model, not a curated record. The transcript has 4 exons.